Molecule: transfer RNA, 73 nt
Organism: Lepisosteus oculatus (spotted gar)
Lineage: Eukaryota; Metazoa; Chordata; Actinopteri; Semionotiformes; Lepisosteidae
Rfam family: tRNA
About the family: Transfer RNA (tRNA) molecules are approximately 80 nucleotides in length. Their secondary structure includes four short double-helical elements and three loops (D, anti-codon, and T loops).
Source: Rfam
CCCCGACUAACUCUGUUGGUAGGGCAUGAGACUCAUAAUCUCAGGGUAGUGGAUUCAUGUCCCAUGUCGGGUG